This 10331-nucleotide long non-coding RNA is filed under the name Hordeum vulgare. RNAcentral describes it as "long non-coding RNA (HVUL_LNC003721)". Lineage: Eukaryota; Viridiplantae; Streptophyta; Magnoliopsida; Poales; Poaceae. The record is from RNAcentral.
AAAUAACUGAAAGAGUCACAAUUAGGGCAUACACUUGCCAUCUGAUAAGGUACAUAGUCAUACAGUCGUACAUUAUUCAAAACAUGGAAUGGUCCGACUACGGACAAUAUAAACGACAAAAGCUAUGAUAUCCGGCAUGCUAGGACCACGAUCACGACCACGGCCUCUUGUCCUUCGGAUAAGUCACAUACAGCCUGCCGCUGUCCUCAUCGAACUCCCACUUCAGCUGGUUGUCAUCGGGAACUCCUGCAUCAAGGGUACCUGUACCUGUGGGUGUUUGUAGUAAACCGUGAGCCACGAGGAAUCAGCAAUCUCAUGACCUUGGUAUCGAGUCUAACUAAGUUAAAUGGGUGAGGUAGGUUAAGUGUUUGAGUUUGCAGCACCCUAAGCAUAUAUGGUGGCUAUCUUACAAAGAACAGAAUUAACAUAUGGUGGACUACGUAAGACGGUCGAAGACUAGGUUGAUCACUAAGUGAUCCUGAACACCUACUUACGUCAUUCAUAACCCAACAGUGUUCUCGAUCAGAGAAGGAGCUCUGAAAGAGAUAAUCACGAUUACGCACUCUGUUGGCAAGUUUUAUUUGAAUUACUUUAAGUUGUCUAGAAUCGGAUGUUAACAAAAUAUCCAUGUUUUCCACAUAACCACAGGCACGGCUUUCUGAAAGAUUAAACCCUGCAGGGGUGCUCCAACUAGUCCAUCACGAAUUACCACAAGCCACAUAGUAAUCCUCUAUCACGAAACUCGUGAUUUUGUCGGAUUCCUUAGAGGAAAACCUCAACUCUCAGAAGAUCCAAAGUCUAACCGGAAUCCCAAUGCGCAAGAUAUAUCGUUAAGGUAAGACAAGUCCAGCAAGACCGCCCGACGUGUCGACGACCCUGAUAAGAGCCACAUAUCUCAGUCUCAUGACAUGAGGAUGGGAAAGCCUACAUGAAACUAGACCUCGAGUUUCCUUGCGGUGGCCCGGCAGUCUGCCCAUUUUGGACCAACACUCAUGAGGAACACUGGCCCGGGGGGUUGAUUAACUUCCUCGGGGUAGCUAUUCCCUAUGCAUUUAAUUAUUAAGUUAUUAGCAAAUUAACACCAAAGUUGGGUCCUACCAAACAAGUCUUAACACUAUACGAUUUAUCGAGGGGUCCCCAUAACAAUCCCGAACGUGUUAGGAGCGCUCAGUUAUGAAAUAAAACACCGGCAGCCGAAACUAAGGCGGCAACAACGGAACAAAUCACCCGGCAAAAGGCUAGGCCUUCCGUUAUUUACCAAGUAUAUAGGUGAAUUGAUUAAAUAGAAAUUGAAUAUAAUGAUAUCAAAUUGCCCAUGUUAUCACAUGGACCAGUGGCACCUAUAACUAGCAACGCUAACAAUUAGUGGUUGAGCAAGCCUUACUUAGCCAAACAAUAUUUGCUAGGAGGGAGGUGUUUGAGGUAGCAUGGCAAUGUUUGAUGGCCUAUAUAUCAUGUGGUAGGCAGCGGAGAUGUAACGAAGGAAACAUAACUCUAAGCAUAACAAAGCUAGAAACGGUGUCAAGGUCACGAUCAUCUUGCGUGUGAUUUCUUCAGACUGGAACUGCUCUUUUUCUUCCUGCAUGAACUCUCCGGACUCCUCGAACUCGUUUCCGGCCCUGGUAACUACCCAAAAGAAACAGACAUCUAAUAUACACCAGCAAAAAAUAAUGCAACAGACAAUAUGAUGCAUGUAUGCACUGCUCCAAACAAGCACAUAAAAUAACCCUGCAUCGAUAAAACUAUUGCCACCUCACCACAAGGGGUCUUUCUACAGGAAUGCUCGAAAUCAGAAACCAACAACACCAUUGGAUUCAUUGGGAUUUUCUACCCCAAAUCCAUAUACCAUAGUGCCACCUUUGCAUACAAAAGAACUCCACAAACAGCAAAAUAAAAUCUACACAUGAUCAAAACUACAUAUACUCAAGAACAUGAACUGUUCUUGAGCCAGCCCAAAUAGGCAAGUCCAAAUCUGGACAUUUCUAGAAAUGGAAAUAUGCCCUAUUUAGCACAAGGAAACUCACAAACAAAAUACCCCCCCCCGAAAUAACAGGAAAAUAUAUUAUGAGGAGGGGACCCACCUAGCAGUGGCCCCUCACAGGAUGACAUGUGGGUCCAGAGGGGCCACUGUCAUACACACACAACAACUAAUACACACGCAAGAAAAUAAAAAGAUGUCAGUGGGGAAUCGAACACACCACCUCUGUGGUGGAGUUAGCUGCCCCCACCACCGGGUAGCUACUGCUAGCUGCUCUAAUAGGGGCAUCCUACCAGGUAAGGCUAUACUACAGCUAAUCUACCAUACGAAGGAAAAAUAGGGGAAUUAAAAGAGGGGUUAACGGAACUGCUCGAGGAAAAAAAUGGGGAGCGGCUCUCUCGCCUGCCCCGCCUUGGUGCAGGCUCCCGACGCAACCUCGACGGCGGCCUCCGUGCAUGCCCCCUCCACAAUCUCCUCGGUGGCCUCCGCGCUGCGGAUCAUUGAUGAGGCAUCGGGGCGGGUGCUGCCCUGCAUCGCCCUCUGGGAGGAGAUUGUGGAUCCGCUCACAGGAUUCGUAGAUCCGGUCUUGGUGCGCGUCCUCCCAUGUGUGGCAUUGAUGGCUAUGGAGGAAUCACCAGCUGCCGACGUAAGUGCCUCCCCCUCGCACCUUUCCUCUCCUAGGCGGUCUUCUUCCUGGCAGCCGGCUUUGCCAGAGCCUCUCCUCCGUUCUGGGGCGGAUCUGGCCGGCCCUUCAAGACCCAGCCUCUGCCCGACCUUGAUGGCGCUGAGAGAGGGGGAGCCUGCUCGCGGGCAGGCUAGCGCGGGUGCGCCUUCAAGGCGCGAGCACUCUCCCCGAGCCGGGGCGGAUCUGGUCGGCUCGUCCAAGCCUAGGCUGUGCUCCAUCAUCGUCGCGCCCAUAGAGAAGGUGUUGACCGGUGGACAGGCACGCGCGGAUGUGCCUUCAAGGUCCGGGCCCUGCGGCUCGCCUGCCACGCCCGGCCAUGCUUCUGGUCAUGACUGGAAGCUGGUGCACUCUCGUCGUGGCCGGCGCCUAGCUAGGCGCCAGGAGGAUCUCCCUCCUCUGCUGUCAAAGGAUCUCAUUCGCCAUGCUCUCUCUCCUGCGGAAGCAUUCAAGACGCGAUUUGGGAAUCGCUGCUACAAAUGCCUUGCCUCUAGGCACAUAUCCUUCCAGUGCUGAGACCCCCAAAUCUGUUACACCUGCAAGCGGACGGGUCAUUUGGAGCGUCAGUGCCCAGCUCGCUGUCCAAAAGGCUUGGCCCCGCUGCUGCCUCCUGCCCCUCCUACGCCGACGUCGUCACCUCUGCGGGCCCUCCCUCCGUUCCUCGGGUGAUGAUGGUUGGCGGGAUAAUCCCGGGCGUGGCGCACCGCAGGCCGGCCACUUCGACUUGCUCGGUGGUCAGUACCCCAAAGAUGGAGGAUGAGGCGUACCGCCUGCGCACCAUGGCGCUGCUGCUCACCGUCAUGGGUCCAUGCUCGGGCAUCACCGCGGACAUGGUGGCGGAAGUUGUGGAGCACGGGCAGGGGUUCCCACGGCGGGACAUCUGUGUCGCCUCCUGCUUCCAGGAGGAUUUCCUGCUUGUCCUGUCGGAGUGUCACCAGCACGACCUAGUCUUCGAGCGACGCCAGCUGGUGGCUGCCGGAGUUAAGCUGCUGCUCAGGCCCUGGUUUCCGCCUCCGGGUGGGAACAGGGUAUGGAGGUUCUACUGCAGGGUUGCAAUCGAAGGGCUGCCUCUGAAUGCGUAGUCUUGGGACAAUGUUCAAGAGGUGAUUGGCAAGAAAUGCAGGCUUGAUCUCAUUGAGCGGCAAUCAACCACCAAGACCAACGUCUCGGCCCUCUUUGCUUGGUUAUGGGCUUGGGACCCGAACCUGAUCCCUAGGGCGUCUGAUUUCAACGUCAUCAGCCGUCGAGACGUUGCUCGGUCGAGAAGAUCGCUACCGGAGGGUACGCCCUCGGAGCAAGGAAGAGAGGGCCCUCACUUCCCGGUGCUCAUCCACCUAGAUGUGGUAAAGGACUACACACCGGUGGAGGACGAGGAUCUGGAGUGGCCUAGGAUCUAUGAGCACAAAGAUUGGAAGAUGGGCUCCAAGGAUGGAGAGCGCAGGGCCCGUGCUGCUGUUUCAGAUGGUUAUGCACCCCCUGCACGCCGCAAUGAUGAUGAUGCUGAUGACAGAUACAAUGGUGGCGCCAGGCGACGGGGUAAACGCAGUGGUGCGUGCGAUGGUUUCUGGCAGGGCAUGCGGGACAGGGCAAACCGUCGGGAUGCCACGGCGCGUGCACCGGCUCCAAGGAGAUACACGCGCCAUGAUGGUGCUGCGGCCUUGAAGGCUCGUGUCCUUGGCCCUCCCACGGUUGCAAAGCAGCUACUGGCAACUAUAGAGGAAGCACCCGCAGCGCUCCAGCUCGUGGCCGCUACUGAGGAACCCACUGCAGUGCAUCAGUAGCAAGACCAGACCAAAGUAUUUGCCAACCCUUCGCUGCAAACAGUUCAGACAGUUGGGUCAAAGGACCACGGCUUGCAACACGAACCUGAAGACAAUAUCAUUGAUGCACUCAGUGUGACAAAUGCCCUUGUUGGCCAAGUAGACCAUGCCGUAUCGCCAGGAUCCGUCGGCUCUGAUCAUCAACAGACGUGAGAGGAUGUGCAAGGGGAAGGUACUGAUGCCCAGUGGAUACCUCCUGGUUAGCUACUGUCGCUUUACUCGCCACCAAGGCCAUCGCAGGUUCAAUAUGACAGUCUCUCGGGUUGGAACAGCCUCUUCGACGGUCGUGCGGCUACUUUCAGCUCCGUUAGGCCAAGCAACCUGCCCAACCCUGAGAAUCGAUGCUACGAGCUCCCACCGCUGCCGCCUUCGCCGGAGUCCGCGGUAUGGGAGUGGCCGGUUCUGCAACAACCUUUGUCGGCGCAGGGAUGGAUGAGGCCUGUCCAAAGCGAAGCUCCAUGCUGGCUGCCAGGGUGCGACAUGAGCCUCUUCCACGCACCGCAGGCUCACCUCUCUUGGGCGACGAGGCCACAGGUGGUGUUAGGCCCUGCUGCUGCUAGCUGCAACUUUCAGAUCACAGGCCCCCAUAUACAGUCCGAGGAAGAAGUGCGCGCGAGACGGGCACUCGCGGAUGCCAACCUAUCUGGCCCUGGCCUGGUUAAUGCUAUCACCCAGAGGGUGCCCUCGCUUCAGAUUGACGACCAAAGGGCAUUCAUCGGCAAGAUUGCCUCAUUGCUGUCGGCAGCCAUCCUCACCACGCCGCCGCACGCCAUCUCAGCCCGUCACAAGCUGAAGAAGAAGCUGCUGGGCGCAGUAAAAGCUCCAAGGCAGAGUGUGCGCCUUUCGCGGAUGCAGUCCAAUUUCUCGUCUUCAAGGAGGUCGCAGGCUGCCAUUUGUGUCCAGUUGGGUUUCAUCAAGCGGGAGGCUGAUUUCAACGACAACACGCUUAUAUCAUAUCUGAACUUCUUCCGCGAGCCAAUGCCAAUGGAGAAUGUAGCAAAGCUGGUGCAGAUUGCAGGGCUAUCAUCUCCCUCCCAGCUGCACCUGCCGGAAGCUGAGGUCCAAGCCAUCCUCGACGAGCUCCCUGUCGGAGCUAUUUGACGCCUCUUCCAGGGUCGGACUCAUGUUGCUUCUCUAGUUUUUAUGAUUAGCUCUCCCCUUAGUCGUCGAACUAUGUUGUUGGUUGCACGCCUUUGCUACGCCGGGUGCCUUGAACAUUGCUACUUUCUACUCUUAUCGUUGUUGGCUGCGUGCAGUUGCCGCGCCUUCUACCCAGUCCAGGACAGAUGUAUGUGUUUGCUCGCUGGGCACUGCCAUAUUGAUCCGUUAUGCUGUUAUGUUUCGGUUUCCAAUGAAUGACAAUCUUGCUAUUUUCAAUUGGAAUGUAAGAGGACUGAACGGCACAGCUAGACGAGCUACCUCUCGAGCGAUCAUUGAUCGGCUUGGCUGCUCUAUCAUCUGCCUGCAGGAGACAAAGCUUUCUUCCUGUUCGGCUGUCGAUCGCCUAGAGAUCGUCGGACAGCGUUUUGAUCAGCACGCAACGCUGGAUGCCGACGGCACACGCGGUGGGAUCAUGAUGUGCUCGAACUCCGAUAGGCUGACCGCCAGCACGGUAACGGUACGAUCGUACUCGGUAACGGUGUGUUUCACCCCAGUGGAGGGGGCAGCCUGGUCGCUGACUACGGUCUACAGCCCCCAUGAUGAUCAGCGGAAAAACGACUUCCUAUCUGAGCUAGCCUAUAUUCACAAUUCCCUGUCCGGUCCGUGGCUUCUCAUAGGAGAUUUCAAUCUCAUCACGAACCCGCAAGAUAAAAACAACCCGAGAGUGUGCCGCCGUUGGAUGCUCAAAUUCCGUCGUACGCUAAACUCCACUAGCCUGCAUGAGAUACCGCUAAUUGGGCGCAAAUUCACUUGGAGUAACGAGCAGGGUGUACCUACUCUGGUACGCCUGGACCGCGCCUUGUGCAACGUCGAAUGGGAGCUCAUCUUCACUGCUGCCAAGCUGCUACCUCAAUCUUCUGCCAUCUCCGACCAUUGCCCGUUACUUCUGCUCAAUGACGGACUAGUCAAAACAAAUAAGCGUUUUCGCUUUGAAUCCUACUGGCAAUUCAUACAUGGUUUCAAGCAGGUUGUGGAUCAGUCCUGGGCUGCACAUGCGGACAAUGCAUGCCCCCUUACGAAGCUGAACCACAAGCUUUGGAGGAUUAGUAAGGCCUUGCGAGCUUGGAGCAGAAAUAUUGUUGGCGACCUGCAAAGACACUUAUCUAUAGUCACCGAGCUCAUACUACAGCUAGACCGAGUACACGAACUAAGAUCACUCUCCCAAGAUGAGAGAGACCUGCGCUCCAGGCUAAAAGCACGUACUUUAGGACUAGCGUUCCUUCUCAAGAUUAAGCUGCGGCAAAGAAGCAAGGUCCUCUGGCUGAAGGCGGGCGAUGCCAACACAAAUUUUUUCCAACGGAAGGCAAAUGCGCGGCACACAAAAAACACAAUCCAUGCGCUACAGGGCCCAAAUGGACUGGUCUUGUCAAUACAGGGCAUGGCCGAUAUGGCAAACAACCAUUUUACCAAUAUCUUCGGCCGCCUAAAGCAACGCACAGCUGCGCUUAACUCGGAUGAAUUAGACAUCGAGCAAGUGGAUUUAAUGGAUCUUGAGCAGGAGUUUUCGCUGGAUGAGAUCAAGACUGCCAUAAAUGAGACUCCGGCUGAUAAGGCACCAGGGUCGAAUGGUUUUUCGGGUGGGUUCUAUAGAGCAUGCUGGGAAACAAUCAAGCACGAUCUCCUCGCGGCGCUGAAUCAGUUAUUCAGGAUGGAUAGUAGUGGUCUACACAGAGUCAACCAGGCGCUGCUCGUCCUCAUCCCCAAGAAAAUGGGGGCGGAUGCGCUGCAAGACUUCAGGCCAAUUUCGCUGCUCCACAGUGUGAUAAAAAUCUUCUCCAAGAUUCUUGCUUCGAGACUAGCCCCAAAAAUUAAUCUGCUUGUGGACAAUUGUCAAAGUGCUUUCAUCAAAUCGCGCAACAUUCAAGAGAACUUCCUGCACGUACAGAACUCUGCGAGAUUCUUUCAUAAAUCAAAGAAACCGACUGUCCUGCUAAAACUUGAUAUUGCCAAGGCCUUCGACUCGGUUUUCUGGGCCUACCUGUUGGAUAUGCUGCAAGCAAGGGGGUUUGGUAGGCGCUGGAUGGAAUGGAUUGCUAUGCUUCUAAGAACCUCUACAUCACGUGUUUUGAUUAAUGGGGAGCUGUCGGAGAUCUUAAACCGUAGGCGUGGACUCAGACAAGGAGACCCGUUGUCCCCUUUCCUUUUCAUCCUAGCCAUGGACCCGCUUCAGAGGAUGAUGUCCAUCGCCACCGAGCAGGGGGCACUCUCAAAGUUGUCGGGAAGGAGAAGGGUUCCUCGCUGCUCCUUCUACACGAAUGAUGUAGUGUUGUUUAUGAACCCCUCGGAAAAUGACGCCAGGAUGAUCUCGCUGAUUCUCAACUGUUUUGGAUCAGCUACUGACCUCUUUACCAAUGCAGCCAAGAGCUCGGCUCUUCCGAUUCGAUGUGGCAACUUGGACCUCGUGCGCAUAUUGUCCCAUCUUAGCUUUCCUAUCAAAUCAUUUCCUGUGGUUUAUCUGGGAAUGCCCUUAUCCCUUCGCAACCUGACAAAGUUAGAGCUAGAUCCUCUGGUUUCCAAGUUUGGAAACAAGGCAGGAACCUGGAAAGGUAGGCUUAUGGCGAAGAGUGGAAGACUUGUGCUGCUAAAAACGGGUUUGUCCUCCCUUGCAAUCUACAUGAUGACGAUCCACAAAUUGCCUGCAUGGGUCCUGAAGCGCUUGACCCAGAUUUGUCGCUCAUGGCUUUGGAGUGGAGAUACUACUGCCAAUGCUGGGAAUUGUAGAGUUGCAUGGACUUUGAUCUGUCGGCCGAAAUGUCUGGUUGGCCUUGGCGUAGUGGACCUCAAGAAGUUUGGCAGGGCACUAAGGAUCCGUUGGCUAUGGAUGGCUUGGAAACACCCGGAGUGGCCUUGGGUGAGCACUCCUUUGCCUUGUUCACAGGAGGAGAAGGAGAUUUUUGCAAUGGCGACGGAGAUUAAGAUAGGAGACGGCAGAGCAACAAACUUCUGGCAGGACUGCUGGGUCGAAGGCGACUGCCCGAAGACGAUCGCUCCAUCCCUCUUCAAGAUUGCAGCACGGAAAAACCGGUCAGUUUGGGACGCUCUAAAGGACGAAAAGUGGCUACAAGACCUAUCGAUGGGGCUGCUGGAUGACAUGCUUCAUGAGCUAUCCCAGCUUGCGUCUCGGCUGGAUCGAGUUCUGCUUCAAGAGGGGCAACCGGAUGUUAUCAGCUGGAGAUUCUCUCGGGAUAGGGCAUACAGCGCGCGCUCGGCGUACCGGUUACAGUUCGAGGGGUCGGUUCACAUGCAUGGGCACAAACUGAUCUGGCGAUGAUGGGCACCGGGCAAAUGCAGGUUUCUAGUGUGGACGAUCAUGCUUGAUAGGCUACUGACGGCGGACGCUCUCCUGCGACGUGGAUGGGAAACCGACUAUCUCUACCCUAUCUGUGUAAGAAACCUGGAAACGUCGUCGCACCUCUUCAUUGACUGUCAGUGGUCAAGGUCCAUAUGAAACUCCAUCGCCUGUGUGAUGGCUAUGCCGGCCCUAUGCCUGGCAAGUUGGGAGAGGGAUUACAAGUUCUCUGCAUGGUUCAAGAGUCGAUACGCCAACACUGCAAACGAGAGGAAAAAGGGGCUGCUAUCACUUGUGCACCUCAUUACUUGGGAGAUUUGACGGGAAAGAAACAGGAGAGUUUUCAAACAAGAGUGCAUGACGGCGGAGGGCCUCGAGAUCAAGAUUAGAGAGGAGAUAAGACUGUGGAACUUGGCAGGAGCCGGCAUUCCUUUUGACCCAGGGUGAGGCGGUUUAUUACUUUCGUUGUCUUAGUAUUAGUUUUCUUGUUUGCCUCUUUUUUGGCUUCUUCUUUUCCCUCCCCCGCUUGGGCCAUGCACAUGUACUCUGUUCCCCCUGAUCAACGAAUUUGGCAAGCGCGGCCAGCAUUAAAAAAAAAAAGAGGGGUUGCAGUGAUUCGAACCAAAAGCAAACUGGGCCACAUCCGGCAAGGUGGGGCACCGGCGGGGUUGCAGGACUCCGAGGGGAAUCCAUUCCCGACGCAAGCACGCAAGAAGGGAACGCCGCAACGCCACAACUACUGGCUGCUGCUUCUGCUGCCUGCUACUGCUCACGCUACCAUGCAUAUGCCUGCUGCUGCGCACCCCCAUGCAGCUGCUGAUGCUGCGCCACCACGCAGCUGCUGUAGCCCGAAGCCGCUGCGCUGGCAUGGCUGCUACUGCCUGCAGGCUCCCCCCCUCUGCUUCGCCUACUGCUAUCAACUGAAGGUGCUGCUACUGUUGCUAAGUAAUAGAGGAGAGCACCGACAACUAUGCUCCUACUCGACGCGGGCACUAGAGAUGAAGGAGAAGACGGAGGGGAGCGGGGCUUCGGUCACCUAGCGGCAGAGAGCCGAUCCUACGCCGGAGAUGGAGAGGACGACGAGCCGGAGCGGAAUAAGACCCGCCGGAGUUGAAGAAGUUGCCACCGUCGUGGAUGUCGAGGUGGAGGUCCUGGCGCCGAUCUCUUCGCGAAAAUGGAACCCCCUGAGUGUCCUCUUGCUCCUGGUACUGGCGGACAGGAAGAAUACGUCGGAUCACCUCGGCCCCAAGCUCUUGCUCGAGCUGGCCAUGGCGGGAGCAGCUCGGGUUUCGCCCCCGGCGGCGCUAGGGAAGAGAGGAGGGAGAGAAAUGGAGGGCUAGGGUUGAGAGGAGGCUGGGGUUGCUCUUAUGGCGCUCGGGAGACGCACUAGCGCCAUCUGAU